CAGCCGCCACGGUAAUACGUAGGGUGCAAGCGUUAAUCGGAAUUACUGGGCGUAAAGCGUGCGCAGGCGGUUAUAUAAGACAGAUGUGAAAUCCCCGGGCUCAACCUGGGAACUGCAUUUGUGACUGUAUAGCUAGAGUACGGCAGAGGGUGAUGGAAUUCCGCGUGUAGCAGUGAAAUGCGUAGAUAUGCGGAGGAACACCGAUGGCGAAGGCAAUCCCCUGGGCCUGUACUGACGCUCAUGCACGAAAGCGUGGGGAGCAAACAGGAUUAGAUACCCCGGUAGUCCCUGUCUCUUAUAU
Molecule: ribosomal RNA, 301 nt
Filed under: uncultured bacterium
Lineage: Bacteria
Description: partial 16S ribosomal RNA
Rfam family: Bacterial small subunit ribosomal RNA
Source: RNAcentral